This 29-nucleotide non-coding RNA is filed under the name Mus musculus (house mouse). The record is from RNAcentral. Lineage: Eukaryota; Metazoa; Chordata; Mammalia; Rodentia; Muridae.
UUAAAAGCUGGAUGUUUACCCCUUGCUGC